GAUGAACGCUGGCGGCGUGCUUAACACAUGCAAGUCGAACGGAAAGGCUCCUGCUUGCAGGGGUACUCGAGUGGCGAACGGGUGAGUAACACGUGGGUGAUCUGCCCUGCACUUCGGGAUAAGCCUGGGAAACUGGGUCUAAUACCGGAUAGGACGAUGGUUUGGAUGCCAUUGUGGAAAGUUUUUCGGUGUGGGAUGAGCUCGCGGCCUAUCAGCUUGUUGGUGGGGUAAUGGCCUACCAAGGCGUCGACGGGUAGCCGGCCUGAGAGGGUGUACGGGCACAUUGGGACUGAGGUACGGACCAGACUCCUACGGGAGGCAGCAGUGGGGAAUAUUGCACAAUGGGCGCAAGCCUGAUGCAGCGACGCCGCGUGGGGGAUGACGGCCUUCGGGUUGUAAACUCCUUUCGCUAGGGACGAAGCGCAAGUGACGGUACCUGGAGAAGAAGCACCGGCUAACUACGUG
Molecule: ribosomal RNA, 465 nt
Filed under: uncultured bacterium
Lineage: Bacteria
Description: partial 16S ribosomal RNA
Rfam family: Bacterial small subunit ribosomal RNA
Source: RNAcentral